GGGUUGUGAGGUUAAGCGACUAAGCGUACACGGUGGAUGCCCUGGCAGUCAGAGGCGAUGAAGGACGUGCUAAUCUGCGAUAAGCGUCGGUAAGGUGAUAUGAACCGUUAUAACCGGCGAUUUCCGAAUGGGGAAACCCAGUGUGAUUCGUCACACUAUCAUUAACUGAAUCCAUAGGUUAAUGAGGCGAACCGGGGGAACUGAAACAUCUAAGUACCCCGAGGAAAAGAAAUCAACCGAGAUUCCCCCAGUAGCGGCGAGCGAACGGGGAGCAGCCCAGAGCCUGAAUCAGUGUGUGUGUUAGUGGAAGCGUCUGGAAAGGCGCGCGAUACAGGGUGACAGCCCCGUACACAAAAAUGCACAUGCUGUGAGCUCGAUGAGUAGGGCGGGACACGUGGUAUCCUGUCUGAAUAUGGGGGGACCAUCCUCCAAGGCUAAAUACUCCUGACUGACCGAUAGUGAACCAGUACCGUGAGGGAAAGGCGAAAAGAACCCCGGCGAGGGGAGUGAAAAAGAACCUGAAACCGUGUACGUACAAGCAGUGGGAGCACGCUUAGGCGUGUGACUGCGUACCUUUUGUAUAAUGGGUCAGCGACUUAUAUUCUGUAGCAAGGUUAACCGAAUAGGGGAGCCGAAGGGAAACCGAGUCUUAACUGGGCGUUAAGUUGCAGGGUAUAGACCCGAAACCCGGUGAUCUAGCCAUGGGCAGGUUGAAGGUUGGGUAACACUAACUGGAGGACCGAACCGACUAAUGUUGAAAAAUUAGCGGAUGACUUGUGGCUGGGGGUGAAAGGCCAAUCAAACCGGGAGAUAGCUGGUUCUCCCCGAAAGCUAUUUAGGUAGCGCCUCGUGAAUUCAUCUCCGGGGGUAGAGCACUGUUUCGGCAAGGGGGUCAUCCCGACUUACCAACCCGAUGCAAACUGCGAAUACCGGAGAAUGUUAUCACGGGAGACACACGGCGGGUGCUAACGUCCGUCGUGAAGAGGGAAACAACCCAGACCGCCAGCUAAGGUCCCAAAGUCAUGGUUAAGUGGGAAACGAUGUGGGAAGGCCCAGACAGCCAGGAUGUUGGCUUAGAAGCAGCCAUCAUUUAAAGAAAGCGUAAUAGCUCACUGGUCGAGUCGGCCUGCGCGGAAGAUGUAACGGGGCUAAACCAUGCACCGAAGCUGCGGCAGCGACGCUUAUGCGUUGUUGGGUAGGGGAGCGUUCUGUAAGCCUGUGAAGGUGUACUGUGAGGUAUGCUGGAG
This 1247-nucleotide ribosomal RNA is filed under the name Shigella flexneri. RNAcentral describes it as "partial 23S ribosomal RNA". It matches the Rfam family "Bacterial large subunit ribosomal RNA", at positions 1 to 1278 of the family's 2925-position model. The record is from RNAcentral. Lineage: Bacteria; Pseudomonadati; Pseudomonadota; Gammaproteobacteria; Enterobacterales; Enterobacteriaceae.